RNAcentral lists this transfer RNA (75 nucleotides) under termite gut metagenome. Its description in RNAcentral is "tRNA-Trp". It matches the Rfam family "tRNA". Rfam says of the family: Transfer RNA (tRNA) molecules are approximately 80 nucleotides in length. The record is from RNAcentral.
ACGGGAGUAGCUCAGUUUGGUAGAGCGCCGGUCUCCAAAACCGGGUGUCGGGAGUUCGAGUCUCUCCUUCCGUGC